Molecule: non-coding RNA, 468 nt
Organism: Macaca mulatta (Rhesus monkey)
Lineage: Eukaryota; Metazoa; Chordata; Mammalia; Primates; Cercopithecidae
Source: RefSeq, a predicted model, not a curated record
UGUUGGCAGUGGGGCCCAGCGGGAGGUGUUUGGGUCAUGGAGGUGAAUUCCUCAGGAAUAGAUUAAUGCCCUCCCUGGAGUGGUGGUGAGUGAUUUUUCACUCUGUUAGUUCCACGAAAACUGGCUGUUAAAAAGAACCUGGCACCUCCUGACCCCUUGUUUCCUUUCUUCCCAAGUGAUUCCUGUAUCUUCCACCACAACUGGGAGCAGCUUGACACCCUCAUCAGAUGCAGAUGCCCAGUCUUAACAUUCCAGCCAUCAGAAUCGACUUGCAAAGCCUGCAGGGUCAAGGAGGAGAGCAAGAGGAACCAAGGGGCAGCAUUUCCAUUCACCUUGAUGGUGCAGUUACUAUCAUGUUUCCCUCACUAUGCUGGCUUGGCAAAGGAAGCUCACCAAACCAUGCUUGGAGAAAAGUUAAUAAUGUGAGAAUGUAUUUUGAAAGCCCAAUUAAAGUUCUCAUACAAUGUA